RNAcentral lists this unclassified non-coding RNA (1961 nucleotides) under uncultured fungus. Its description in RNAcentral is "sequence contains 18S rRNA gene, ITS1, 5.8S rRNA gene, ITS2, 28S rRNA gene". The stretch from base 624 to 1961 matches the Rfam family "Eukaryotic large subunit ribosomal RNA", at positions 1 to 1474 of the family's 3401-position model. The record is from RNAcentral. Lineage: Eukaryota; Fungi.
GGAGGGAUCAUUGAAUUAUUAAAACCACAAUGUGAACCUCAACGUUCCGUGCCUUGGCUUGCCAGUGGGGCAUUCGGCCAAAACCCGUUUGUACUCACAGCUGAGUGGGCAUUGCGACCUGCUCAGUGGCGCCUUGGCAUGACUUUACACCAGUGCUAACCACUGUUAAAACCAAACUCUGAAGUAUUGGUUGCUGGUAACUGGCAAUCUUAACCAAAGACAACUCUCAACAACGGAUAUCUUGGCUCUCGCAACGAUGAAGAACGCAGCGAAAUGCGAUACGUAGUGUGAAUUGCAGAAUUCCGUGAACCAUCGAAUCUUUGAACGCAUAUUGCGCUCAAGCCCUCGGGCAAGAGCAUGUCUGCCUCAGCGUCGGUUUACACCCUCACCCCUCCCAACUUGUUGGGUGUGCUUGCUUUAUUGGCAAGCCGUUGGGGUGGAUCUGGCUUCCCCAAUCAGCCAUCAGGCAGAUUGGGUUGGCUGAAGUGCAGAGGCUUAAGCAAGGACCCGAUAUGGGCUUCAACUGGAUAGGUAGCACCGGCUUCUGCCGACUACACGAAGUUGUUGCUUGUGGCUCUUGCUAGAGGCCAAGCAGGAACGUGCCUUUGGCAUGUCUAAACUUUCGACCUGAGCUCAGGCAAGAUUACCCGCUGAACUUAAGCAUAUCAAUAAGCGGAGGAAAAGAAACUAACAAGGAUGCGCUUAGUAACGGCGAGCGAACCGCGCAAAGCCCAACUUGAAAAUCUCCCUCGGAGAAUUGUAGUCUAUAGAAGUACCCUCUGCAACGGGCUGAGCUAAAGUCUCCUGGAAAGGGGCGUCAGAGAGGGUGAGAACCCCGUAAGCUCACGCUUAGCUGCCUCACGAGGUGCUUUCAAAGAGUCGGGUUGCUUGGGAAUGCAGCCCAAAUUUGGUGGUAAAUCCCAUCUAAGGCUAAAUAUUGGCGAGAGACCGAUAGCGAACAAGUACCGUGAGGGAAAGAUGAAAAGAACUUUGAAAAGAGAGUUAAAAAGUGCUUGAAAUUGUUGAGGGGGAAGCGUUUGAAUGCUAGGGUGCGCCUAGGCUUAUGGGUCCUUAACGGGGCUCUGUAUGUGCUAGGUGCUGGCCAGCAUGGGUUAGGCCAGUGGGAUAAAAACUGGGGUUGUUACUCGGUCUAUGCCACUGGUUUGACCAAGGCGUUAAGACUGCCCUUGUCCUCCGGGAACUGCAGUCUCAAGAUGCUGGCAAAAGGCUUUCAACCGACCCGUCUUGAAACACGGACCAAGGAGUCUAACAUGUAUGCGAGUUGGUGGGUGGAAAACCCAUGAAGCGUAAGGAAACUGACUGGUGGGAUGGCCUGUGCCUGCACCAUCGACCGACCAUGCGUUUCUGCAAAAGGUUUGAGUGCGAGCAUACACGUUGGGACCCGAAAGAUGGUGAACUAUGCCUGAGCAGGGUGAAGCCAGGUGAAAACCUGGUGGAGGCUCGUAGAUGUGCUGACGUGCAAAUCGCUUUUCGGACUUGGGUAUAGGGGCGAAAGACUAAUCGAACCAUUUGCUAUAAGGUGGUUAAGAGUCGUAGUAAAAGCUGCGGCUAGUGGGCUUGAACUCUGUUCAGGUUUGCAAGACUGUCAAAUUGCCGGGACGUCCUGGUAAGCUGUUGGUACCGUCAGUUGUGGGAAACCACAGCCUGACACCUCAGGGAAACUUGGGGGUAUGGUAAAAAUCCAACAGAUAGGGACAAUCGGCAGCCAAGUCCUAAGGGCCAUGCCUACGGAUGCAGUUCACAGACUAGAUGGCAGUCGGCUGGUCAUAGACUGGCUUAAGAUAUAGUCGGCUCCCACAGAGAUGUGGCUGGUAAGAGGAUCCUUGCCUUAACCGACAGGGUGAGAGCUUAUCAGGGGUGAGGUAGUACUUGGCUCCUGUAAUGGGAUCAAGGGCAAUUGCGGCCUCUCACCCGAAGAAGUGCUAGUAGCUGGUUUCCUC